UACGUAGGGUGCGAGCGUUAAUCGGAAUUACUGGGCGUAAAGCGUGCGCAGGCGGUUUUGUAAGCCAGAUGUGAAAUCCCCGGGCUUAACCUGGGAAUGGCAUUUGGGACUGCAAGGCUGGAGUGUGGCAGAGGAGACUGGAAUUCCUGGUGUAGCAGUGAAAUGCGUAGAUAUCAGGAGGAAUACCGAUGGCGAAGGCAGGUCUCUGGGCUGACACUGACGCUCAUGCACGAAAGCGUGGGGAGCAAAAGGG
This 253-nucleotide ribosomal RNA is filed under the name uncultured bacterium. Its description in RNAcentral is "partial 16S ribosomal RNA". It matches the Rfam family "Bacterial small subunit ribosomal RNA", at positions 524 to 776 of the family's 1533-position model. The record is from RNAcentral.